CGAGUAAGAGUUGUACAGUAACUGAAAGAGGUGGUGAUAGUGAAAUUGCCGUUUUGGGAUUUAUGGAAUACUGAAACAUUGAGAACAAAGAAGUAUUAUUGAGAUAUAUUGUGAUUGGAGAAAAUAUUUUUUGUUCAAUACAAUUUUAUGGUGUGAUGGGAGAAAAUUCACAAAUAAUUGAUGGUUUGACAGAAAUAUUCAUUGAAGAACUUUUACGGCUGGAGAUAACUGUGUGACAACAAUUUUUCAGCUAUUUCACGGCCAAUAAACCCUGAAAAUAGCUUUCACACAGAAAUAUUCAUUAUCACUGGCGAUAAAAAAUUCCUUCCUACGUAGAGCUACAAAUGAUUUUUAUGAUAGACUUGAUGUGCUAAACACCAAGAUUAUAGCUCCCCUUCUUUUUUGAGAUAUCUUUGACGACGGAAUUAUACUUGGAAUUCUUAUCAGAUACUCUGGUUGAAUUGUUGGAAGAUUUGCCUUUGAAUGUUCUGAGGAAAUAUUAGUAUUGUGAUGGAGCUCCGUCAAAUUGCAGUCACUAUUUGCAGAUAUUUUCUCAAUACUACUAUGUCAGGACAAUGGAUAGAAAACAAUGGUCCAAUUGAAUGGCCAUUACGUUUACCUGACCUGAUCCUUCUGGGAUUGUCAUUGUGGGGCUUCAUUGAAGACAAGGUAUUCGGCUCAACUUUUUGUAAUAUUAACAAAUUGAAAGAAACAAUUAGGAGAG
Long non-coding RNA from Leptinotarsa decemlineata (Colorado potato beetle), 724 nucleotides. The record is from RefSeq and is a predicted model, not a curated record. NCBI's taxonomy places the organism in Eukaryota, Metazoa, Arthropoda, Insecta, Coleoptera, Chrysomelidae.